UACGUAGGGGCCUAGCGUUGUCCGGAAUUAUUGGGCGUAAAGAGCUCGUAGGCGGUUCGGCAAGUCGGAUGUGAAAUCUCCACGCUUAACGUGGAAGGGCCAUUCGAAACUGCUGUGACUCGAGUCCGGUAGGGGAGUGUGGAAUUCCCGGUGUAGCGGUGAAAUGCGCAGAUAUCAGGAGGAACACCGAUGGCGAAGGCAGGUCUCUGGGCCACUACUGACGCUGAGAAGCGAAAGCAUGGGGAGCGAACAGG
This 254-nucleotide ribosomal RNA is filed under the name uncultured bacterium. Its description in RNAcentral is "partial 16S ribosomal RNA". It matches the Rfam family "Bacterial small subunit ribosomal RNA", at positions 524 to 776 of the family's 1533-position model. The record is from RNAcentral.